UGCUGAGGAGAUGCAAAGAGUGGUGAAGAUGCUCCCCCUGAAGUCACCCUGUGCUCAUUGGUAACCAGACUCCCAUGGACUAGCCGGCUAUGGGGGCUCUACAUGGCCAGAAACGUUCCAUGCUGCUGACCCCGAAAUAUGUUCGUGUGUAUAAAUAGCUUUGCUGUUCCAAAUAAAGUAAGUUUGUGUUUUCCACCUCAA
This is a long non-coding RNA of Spea bombifrons (plains spadefoot toad), 201 nucleotides long. RefSeq lists it as uncharacterized. The record is from RefSeq and is a predicted model, not a curated record. The transcript has 2 exons. NCBI's taxonomy places the organism in Eukaryota, Metazoa, Chordata, Amphibia, Anura, Pelobatidae.